RNAcentral lists this ribosomal RNA (434 nucleotides) under uncultured bacterium. RNAcentral's name for it is "bacterial SSU rRNA". It matches the Rfam family "Bacterial small subunit ribosomal RNA", at positions 29 to 507 of the family's 1533-position model. The record is from RNAcentral.
AACGAACGCUGGCGGCAGGCCUAACACAUGCAAGUCGAGCGGACCUUUCGGGGUCAGCGGCGGACGGGUUAGUAACGCGUGGGAACGUGCCCGAAGGUACGGAAUAGUCCCGGGAAACUGGGGGUAAUACCGUAUGUGCCCUAUGGGGGAAAGAUUUAUCGCCUUCGGAUCGGCCCGCGUUGGAUUAGGUAGUUGGUGGGGUAAUGGCCUACCAAGCCGACGAUCCAUAGCUGGUUUGAGAGGAUGAUCAGCAACACUGGGACUGAGACACGGCCCAGACUCCUACGGGAGGCAGCAGUGGGGAAUCUUAGACAAUGGGGGAAACCCUGAUCUAGCCAUGCCGCGUGAGCGAUGAAGGCCUUUAGGGUUGUAAAGCUCCUUCAGCUGGGAAGAUAAUGACGGUACCAGCAGAAGAAGCCCCGGCUAACUCCGUG